AACAAGAUAACCAUUAUUCAGACCAAUGCCUUCAAUGGUUUGUCAAAUUUACAGAAUCUAAAUCUUCACGGAAACGAAAUCACCACGAUACAGGACAAUGCCUUCGCCAGCUUAUACAAUUUACGUAAACUGUGGUUACAUAACAACAAGAUAACCAUUAUUCAGACCAAUGCCUUCGAUGGUUUGUCAAAUUUACAGGAACUAAUUCUUUACGAAAACGAAAUCACCACGAUACAGGACAAUGUCUUCUCAAGCUUAUACAAUUUACGUAAACUGUGGUUACAUAACAACAAGAUAACCAUUAUUCAGACCAAUGCCUUCGAUGGUUUGUCAAAUUUACAGGAACU
Saccostrea cuccullata (small rock oyster) is the source of this 347-nucleotide long non-coding RNA. RefSeq lists it as uncharacterized. The record is from RefSeq and is a predicted model, not a curated record. Lineage: Eukaryota; Metazoa; Mollusca; Bivalvia; Ostreida; Ostreidae. The transcript has 5 exons.